CAUUGGUCCACUACAGCUCCUCCUCUAGCCAAUCAAUCGAAGAGGGGAGUUGACGUCACUCCACUGCGACUCAUGGUAGUUGUGUUCAGAGACAUAUAUAGACGCAUUUUUCUGUUGACUGUUGAAUAGUAGGACAACGGUAAUAAAUUUCAGUUUAUAGUAUAAUCUAUACUGCCGUUUUUCUGCAAACCGACUUUUAUGACAAGCUCAUCGUUUCGACUGAAGUUAGUAGUUAGCUGGCUGGUUAACCUUUCUCACACGGAUGGUUUCCCAAAGAGAAACAGUUGAGGCAGAGGGAAGUAGAUGUAAGAAGGGAAGGUGUUUCCGCAAGUGAGCACUUCCAAGCCGGAGGACUUUGACAGGAUAGGAUAGGACAGGACAAGAGAUGGAGAUAAACCACCUGUCUUCAGUUUCCCCACUCAUCUCCAAACAUAGAUUAUAGGACAGUCUUGCCCGGACCAAUAUGGCGGCGACGUUGACCUACGAUCCAGCAGCUAACGGGGCGUCUAUGUAUGUCAACUCCCCUCUUCGAUUGAUUGGCUAGAGGAGGAGCUGUAGUGGACCAAUGGUGACGCUAAAGCCCACCCUGAUUUACAUGAAACUCGAACUGCAACAUUUGGAAACAAGCGCGAAGGGGAAAAACACAGCAUAAUAGUUAAAAAAAAAUAAAAAUAAAUAAAAAACAGAAAGAAAGAAAACGUUUUUGUGUGCGAAUUAUUUGUGCAAUAUAAUUGUAAAUACGUUUUUAAAUGCUUAUUAUUUUUCGAUCCGUGACCGCUAUACUUUUGACGGAAAAUGAAUAUUAUAGGUCCCAAACUGCUGAGAUUUACUGUUCACUUAAUUCCGCCUCAGUAUAUAACAUUAAAAUCCAAUCCAUGUUUUUUCUCACGGCCAAAAAAAAGAGAAAAGAAACUUGUGCCCCCUCUAGUGUACAAACAGCGAAAUUGCAAUGUUAUGAAGGUCAAAUACAUGACAUCCAAUUAAAUUAUCCUAUCUUUCGCGGUCAAAACUGCAUCCACUCAGCAGUCCUGCGUCAGUGCGCAUCUUACCGCAGGUCAUUU
Long non-coding RNA from Ictalurus punctatus (channel catfish), 1061 nucleotides. The record is from Ensembl. NCBI's taxonomy places the organism in Eukaryota, Metazoa, Chordata, Actinopteri, Siluriformes, Ictaluridae.